This 504-nucleotide ribosomal RNA is filed under the name uncultured bacterium. RNAcentral's name for it is "partial 16S ribosomal RNA". It matches the Rfam family "Bacterial small subunit ribosomal RNA", at positions 30 to 523 of the family's 1533-position model. The record is from RNAcentral.
AUUGAACGCUGGCGGCAGGCCUAACACAUGCAAGUCGAACGGUAGCACAGAGAGCUUGCUCUCGGGUGACGAGUGGCGGACGGGUGAGUAAUGUCUGGGAAACUGCCCGAUGGAGGGGGAUAACUACUGGAAACGGUAGCUAAUACCGCAUAACGUCGCAAGACCAAAGUGGGGGACCUUCGGGCCUCACACCAUCGGAUGUGCCCAGAUGGGAUUAGCUAGUAGGUGGGGUAAUGGCUCACCUAGGCGACGAUCCCUAGCUGGUCUGAGAGGAUGACCAGCCACACUGGAACUGAGACACGGUCCAGACUCCGACGGGAGGCAGCAGUGGGGAAUAUUGCACAAUGGGCGCAAGCCUGAUGCAGCCAUGCCGCGUGUAUGAAGAAGGCCUUCGGGUUGUAAAGUACUUUCAGCGGGGAGGAAGGCGGUGGAGUUAAUAACUUCACCGAUUGACGUUACCCGCAGAAGAAGCACCGGCUAACUCCGUGCCAGCCGCUGCCGUAA